GUCCAGACUCCUACGGGAGGCAGCAGCGGGGAAUAUUGCACAAUGGGGGAAACCCUGCUGCAGCGACGCCGCGUGAGCGAAGAAGUAUUUCGGUAUGUAAAGCUCUAUCAGCAGGGAAGAAAUUGACGGUACCUGAGUAAGAAGCUCCGGCUAAAUACGUGCCAGCAGCCGCGGUAAUACGUAUGGAGCAAGCGUUAUCCGGAUUUACUGGGUGUAAAGGGAGCGCAGGCGGCGCGCCAAGUCUGAUGUGAAACCCCGGGGCUCAACCCCGGGCAUGCAUUGGAAACUGGCGGGCUGGAGUGCCGGAGAGGUAAGCGGAAUUCCUAGUGUAGCGGUGAAAUGCGUAGAUAUUAGGAGGAACACCAGUGGCGAAGGCGGCUUACUGGACGGCAACUGACGCUGAGGCUCGAAAGCGUGGGGAGCAAACAGGAUUAGAUACCCGCGUAUC
Molecule: ribosomal RNA, 448 nt
Filed under: uncultured bacterium
Lineage: Bacteria
Description: partial 16S ribosomal RNA
Rfam family: Bacterial small subunit ribosomal RNA
Source: RNAcentral